ACAUGUAACAGCUGCUUUUGGGAGACCCCUGUUGGAGACCAGCUGGAGUUUUCUGUCCCUCUCGCCCCUGUUCCGGCUGCACCGAAGACCCCCCGAGUCCGACACGCCUUUUUGUCAACGGCUGCGAUUUCGCAUAAUCUCAGCUGGCAACUGUGAGCUGUGCCGUCGCCCCCCUCACGGUGGCUGCUGGGAUUAUGUUAAACGCAGCGAUUUCCUCGCGCUGCCCGAUCGAUCGGCACGAGCUGUCACCCAAGCCUCGGAGAUCCGCCUUCUGAAUGAAGAUGUCGCUGCAAUUACGGAAGCGUGUCUUAAUGAGGUUAACUUCACCAGCCAAAAAAAAAGUUAUUCUGAGGCCACAUACCCUUUCUUUUCUUUCUUUUUGGUCUUUUAAUUCGUUCACCCAUCCAUUCUUCCUUUUUUACUUUAAAGGUCUAGCUAUUUAUUGUGGACUUUUUGCUUUGCUGCGUCUAAUCUCCUUCCAGAAUAUGCUACGUUUUGUUUUGCUGCGGAAGGAACAGAUGGCACGGGUGAGCACGGAGCUUUCUGGUGUCGAUGAUACUGCAUCAGGAACUGAUUGGAUAAUGUACUGAGACCAUCAGUUCUUCAUGCAUUGCCUUCAGCAUCGAAAGAAACGCCACUGUUUUUUCAGACGUUUUCAAAGUGUGUAACGAGUGAGAAAUGGGGAAACGUACGCAUUUUCCACUGAAUAAUUAAACCGGGUUAUAUUAACAAUCAGCGAUCAUGCUUCGUGUACUGUAUACGAAUGUGGUUUACUGAUCCUAAUGAAAUGCUUUUUAUCCAAUGUGGGCUCAAAUAAAAAGUUGAAUACUUC
Anguilla anguilla (European eel) is the source of this 832-nucleotide long non-coding RNA. RefSeq lists it as uncharacterized. Lineage: Eukaryota; Metazoa; Chordata; Actinopteri; Anguilliformes; Anguillidae. The record is from RefSeq and is a predicted model, not a curated record. The transcript is spliced from 2 exons.